AACGAACGCUGGCGGCAUGCCUAACACAUGCAAGUCGAACGAGACCUUCGGGUCUAGUGGCGCACGGGUGCGUAACGCGUGGGAACCUGCCCUUAGGUUCGGAAUAACUCCCCGAAAGGGGUGCUAAUACCGGAUAAUGUCUUCGGACCAAAGAUUGAUCGCCUUUGGAUGGGCCCGCGUUGGAUUAGCUAGUUGGUAGGGUAAAAGCCUACCAAGGCGACGAUCCAUAGCUGGUCUGAGAGGAUGAUCAGCCACACUGGGACUGAGACACGGCCCAGACUCCUACGGGAGGCAGCAGUGGGGAAUAUUGGAAAAUGGGCGAAAGCAUGAUCCAGCAAUGCCGCGUGAGUGAUGAAGGCCUUAGAGUUGUAAAGCUCUUUUACCCGGGAUGAUAAUGACAGUACCGGGAGAAUAAGCGCCGGCUAACUCCGUG
This 433-nucleotide ribosomal RNA is filed under the name uncultured bacterium. RNAcentral describes it as "partial 16S ribosomal RNA". It matches the Rfam family "Bacterial small subunit ribosomal RNA", at positions 29 to 507 of the family's 1533-position model. The record is from RNAcentral.